This 498-nucleotide ribosomal RNA is filed under the name Alternaria tenuissima. RNAcentral's name for it is "eukaryotic LSU rRNA". The stretch from base 140 to 293 matches the Rfam family "5.8S ribosomal RNA". The record is from RNAcentral. Lineage: Eukaryota; Fungi; Ascomycota; Dothideomycetes; Pleosporales; Pleosporaceae.
CUCUCGGGGUUCAGCCUUGCUGAAUUAUUCACCCUUGUCUUUUGCGUACUUCUUGUUUCCUUGGUGGGUUCGCCCACCACUAGGACAAACAUAAACCUUUUGUAAUUGCAAUCAGCGUCAGUAACAAAUUAAUAAUUACAACUUUCAACAACGGAUCUCUUGGUUCUGGCAUCGAUGAAGAACGCAGCGAAAUGCGAUAAGUAGUGUGAAUUGCAGAAUUCAGUGAAUCAUCGAAUCUUUGAACGCACAUUGCGCCCUUUGGUAUUCCAAAGGGCAUGCCUGUUCGAGCGUCAUUUGUACCCUCAAGCUUUGCUUGGUGUUGGGCGUCUUGUCUCUAGCUUUGCUGGAGACUCGCCUUAAAGUAAUUGGCAGCCGGCCUACUGGUUUCGGAGCGCAGCACAAGUCGCACUCUCUAUCAGCAAAGGUCUAGCAUCCAUUAAGCCUUUUUUUCAACUUUUGACCUCGGAUCAGGUAGGGAUACCCGCUGAACUUAAGCAU